Long non-coding RNA from Homo sapiens (human), 631 nucleotides. NCBI's taxonomy places the organism in Eukaryota, Metazoa, Chordata, Mammalia, Primates, Hominidae. The record is from Ensembl.
CCAUCCCAUCUCUUGGACAGAUGAUGCCAGUUAAUUACUUUGAAUGCAAGUUUGAAAACCACUGCUUUAAAGAAAAUGGAUACUCCCCUUACCAAGCAGAAAGUAGGAUUUUGGAAACUGAUGCAAGGGAAGCAAAAAAGAUGCCUCAGGAGGCACGAUUACAACAGGAUUGAUGCAAACGGAAGCUGAAGCUUAACCAAAGACAUUAAUGUACGCCCACAAAAGAAACUGCUAAGGAAGUCAAGUGGUCUGCAUGAAUUCUGAAGAAAAAUGGAGAACCAAAGAACAAAAUUUGUCAAUGAAUUUCCAGCACAGUCUAGGUUAAGGGAGUGAAUUUCUUGACUGAAUGGCACAGACUCUGUACCACCUGAUUGGCUGUUACCUUAAUGGAGGAAUUAUAUUACAAUGUAUAGGUACUUUAAUUAGAAUGACCUGGCAGUUACUGAGGCAAAAUUUUCCGCUCCUUUGUAUUCUGUAAUACAAGAAGGAUCUACAUGGAUGUUCUGUUCUCUGAACUGUCUGGAUGAACCGGUCAACGGCACUCAUCAUACCUUAGUUUUUAAAUCUGCAUUGUGGUCAUAAUCUGUUAUUUAAUUAAUUUCUCGUAUUUUUAAUAAAAACUUUGCCUAUA